AUACGGAGGAUGCGAGCGUUAUCCGGAUUUAUUGGGUUUAAAGGGUGCGUAGGCGGUUUGCUAAGCGGGAGGUGAAAUGCCGGCGCUCAACGUCGGAAGUGCCUCCCGAACUGGUGGACUUGAAUGACUCUGCCGUGGGAGGAAUGUGUAGUGUAGCGGUGAAAUGCUUAGAGAUUACACGGAACACCGAUUGCGAAGGCAUCUCACGAAGGGUUGAUUGACGCUGAGGCACGAAAGCGUGGGGAUCAAACAGGAUUAGAUACCCUGGUAGUCCACGCAGUAAACGAUGAUGGCUAACCGCUGGGCUUAUCAGUUCAGUGGCCAAGCGAAAGCGAUAAGCCAUCCACCUGGGGAGUACGACCGCAAGGUUGAAACUCAAAGGAAUUGGCGGGG
This 393-nucleotide ribosomal RNA is filed under the name uncultured bacterium. RNAcentral describes it as "partial 16S ribosomal RNA". It matches the Rfam family "Bacterial small subunit ribosomal RNA", at positions 523 to 918 of the family's 1533-position model. The record is from RNAcentral.